GACCCGGGCCACAGAAAUACACACGGUGGAACCCACUAGAGAGCAGAACCUUCAUUGUAGCUUGCGAAAACACCAUUCCUGAAGGUCAUCGACAUGGGAGGUGUUUCACGAAACACAACUGGGACCAUGUGAUUGCGCUAUUUAACUCUAUCUAUGGCCACAACUGGAGCAAACAACAACUUUGCAACCACUGGGACCAAUGCGUCGAGACAAAAAAGGUCUCUCCGAGGAAUAAUGGACCAGAAGAAUUAAGGUAACCAGAUUCGUUUUCGAACAGCAUUAGUAUGGUUUUCCUAAAUUGCCAAACCCGUUCUCCAAGUAAAGUGGGAAUUUAUGUAUAAAUACACAUUUAGCAUUUGCUGCAUAAAUGGUGUGGGAAUUUAUAUAUUAAUACACAUUUUGCACCUUUCUGCAUAAACCCUUUUUUUGUGAGUUCGUAAUUGUGUCUCAUAUUGUGUUUUUCCAGUCUCCAAUUUAAUGCAAAUAUACAUAUUCUACGUUAUUCGGUUACGAGAGAAACAUGGUAUUCAAUGGUAAAAGACUGUGACGUGUUCUUCAUGUACAACUUCCUACUGCAUAGAAAAAAAUGUAUGUUUCUAUGAAUUUGUAAUUUGAUUUCUAUCAUUACUGAUACACCUCAAUGGAUUGUGAGUUGUGUUUUGCUACCACUGAUUUAUGACGCUCUCAAUUACUUUCGUGUAGUUUGGAAAUAAUACGUAAAUGCCGCUACAUUUGAACCUGUUAGCAAUAGGUCCCCUGCAUAAAAAAUGUUCUUAUGCACCCUUCAUACUACUACGAUAUUUCAAAAGCUUACCGCUUCGAACUCUAUUUUUAGAGAAGCCGAUAUCUUGCAUUUUUCGGAUUGUACAUAUCUUUUGUGUUUCCUCCAUAAGUCGUAUCGGUGUAUUUGUUUAACCCUUUGUUGCAGGAGAACAAGGAGUACAGAGAUUUCAACGACAAAGAUGUUAGUGAGAUUUACAUUUGUUAUCUCAACUAUUGAACUACAGUUACGAAGGCGACAAGUACACAAAAGUUGUGUGGAACGGGCUUCGAGCUAUUUGAGGACAGUGUGAUCAAAGACCACAGGGAUGCAAUUCCUAUCAAUGGGGAGAGCAGCGAUUCGAGUAAUGAGGGAGACACUGGAAACGAUAAAUUAAGCAUGAACGUUUCCAAUGCCAAAAGUGGCGAGAAAAGGAAAUUGCCCUUAAAGAAGCAAAAGGGAAAGAGAAACAAACUUUCUACACGUAAAUUGUCGGUCUCUAUCGAUCGGGGCAACAGUGCAUUCGAGGAAGUGGCGACAAAGAUCAAUACCAUUAUGGCUCCGACCGAGAAUGAAGAAGUUGCAUGUGUUGAAGAGUUGCUUGCAACUGGAUGACUCAAGCAUCGAACACCUUUGUACUUUUAUGCAUGUACGCUCUUAGCACAAAAGCAUUAUUGUGAUAUGCUCGGUGUCAUGAGAGAUGCAAACGAAAAUUUUGAAUGGACUGAAUGAUAGUUCAAUGAGCAUAAC
RNAcentral lists this long non-coding RNA (1510 nucleotides) under Olea europaea subsp. europaea. The record is from RNAcentral. Lineage: Eukaryota; Viridiplantae; Streptophyta; Magnoliopsida; Lamiales; Oleaceae.